This 300-nucleotide ribosomal RNA is filed under the name Triticum aestivum (bread wheat). Its description in RNAcentral is "partial small subunit ribosomal RNA". Lineage: Eukaryota; Viridiplantae; Streptophyta; Magnoliopsida; Poales; Poaceae. The record is from RNAcentral.
AUGGAGUGGGGGACGAGAUCUUUGGAGAGAGAGCAACAGUGGGCUGGUAGCGCGCCCGCACGUGAGGCCGCCGCCGCCAUGGGCCAAGAUUACUCCCCGGCCGCAUGCAGUGAGUCUACAGUGUCCCAUCCGGCCGGGGACCAGAGAAGAUCGGUCUGCCUUGAGUUCAGUUCAGUACUCCUUUCAAGCAGUACCCUCGGAUCAAAAUCCAGGGCAUACGGUCCCAAUUAUAGAUCAGAUUUUACAGGUUCAAAUUUGACUAGUUUAUCAAGUAAAAAACCUAAAUUACAGCUAAUGUAA